Molecule: transfer RNA, 72 nt
Filed under: Phycisphaerae bacterium
Lineage: Bacteria; Pseudomonadati; Planctomycetota; Phycisphaerae
Also listed under: 2 other names
Description: tRNA-Gly
Rfam family: tRNA
About the family: Transfer RNA (tRNA) molecules are approximately 80 nucleotides in length. Their secondary structure includes four short double-helical elements and three loops (D, anti-codon, and T loops). Further hydrogen bonds mediate the characteristic L-shaped molecular structure. tRNAs have two regions of fundamental functional importance: the anti-codon, which is responsible for specific mRNA codon recognition, and the 3' end, to which the tRNAs corresponding amino acid is attached (by aminoacyl-tRNA synthetases). tRNAs cope with the degeneracy of the genetic code in two manners: having more than one tRNA (with a specific anti-codon) for a particular amino acid; and 'wobble' base-pairing, i.e. permitting non-standard base-pairing at the 3rd anti-codon position.
Source: RNAcentral
GCGGGCGUAACUCAAUGGUAGAGUACCAGCCUUCCAAGCUGGUGGUUGCGCGUUCGAGUCGCGUCGCCCGCU